AACGAACGCUGGCGGCAGGCCUAACACAUGCAAGUCGAACGCCCUAGCAAUAGGGAGUGGCAGACGGGUGAGUAACACGUGGGAACGUGCCUUUCGGUUCGGAAUAACCCAGGGAAACUUGGACUAAUACCGGAUACGUGCGAGAGCAGAAAGAUUUAUCGCCGAAAGAUCGGCCCGCGUCCGAUUAGUUAGUUGGUGAGGUAAUGGCUCACCAAGGCGACGAUCGGUAGCUGGUCUGAGAGGAUGAUCAGCCACACUGGGACUGAGACACGGCCCAGACUCCUACGGGAGGCAGCAGUGGGGAAUAUUGGACAAUGGGCGCAAGCCUGAUCCAGCCAUGCCGCGUGAGUGAUGAAGGCCCUAGGGUUGUAAAGCUCUUUCGCCAGGGACGAUAAUGACGGUACCUGGAUAAGAAGCCCCGGCCUAACUUCGUGCCAGCCGCCGCAGUAAC
This 451-nucleotide ribosomal RNA is filed under the name uncultured bacterium. RNAcentral describes it as "bacterial SSU rRNA". It matches the Rfam family "Bacterial small subunit ribosomal RNA", at positions 29 to 524 of the family's 1533-position model. The record is from RNAcentral.